Molecule: small nuclear RNA, 109 nt
Organism: Schistocerca americana (American grasshopper)
Lineage: Eukaryota; Metazoa; Arthropoda; Insecta; Orthoptera; Acrididae
Source: RefSeq, a predicted model, not a curated record
GUGUACUUGCUUUGGCUUUACAUACGCUAAAACUGGAGCGAUACAAAGAAGAUGACCAUGGCCCCUGAGCAAGGAUGACACACAAGAUCGUGAAGCGUGGAAAAAAAGG